ACCUACCAGAGGUUAUAAAGGAUACGCGGGUGAAACUGAUAUAAUAUUAACAUUUAGGUCGAAUUCGUAUCUGAUUCUUCGGAAGAUAAUAGUAAGGUAGUGCAACGUAGUAAUACGUUUGCGGGAG
Molecule: non-coding RNA, 127 nt
Filed under: unclassified sequences
Description: lysM-TM7 RNA
Rfam family: lysM-TM7 RNA
Source: RNAcentral